Molecule: ribosomal RNA, 454 nt
Filed under: uncultured bacterium
Lineage: Bacteria
Description: bacterial SSU rRNA
Rfam family: Bacterial small subunit ribosomal RNA
Source: RNAcentral
CAGCAGUGGGGGAAUAUUGCACAAUGGGCGCAAGCCUGAUGCAGCCAUGCCGCGUGUAUGAAGAAGGCCUUCGGGUUGUAAAGUACUUUCAGCAGUGAGGAAGGUGGGUAUGUUAAUAGCAUAUUCAUUUGACGUUAGCUGCAGAAGAAAGCACCGGCUAACUCCGUGCCAGCAGCCGCGGUAAUACGGAGGUGCGAGCGUUAAUCGGAAUUACUGGGCGUAAAGCGCAUGCAGGUGGUUUGUUAAGUCAGAUGUGAAAGCCCGGGGCGUCAACCUCGGAAUUGCAUUGUAAACUGGCAAACUAGAGUACUGUAGAGGGGGUAGGAAUUUCAGGUGUAGCGGUGAAAUGCGUAGAGAUCUGAAGGAAUACCGGUGGCGAAGGCGGCCCCCUGGACAGAUACUGACACUCAGAUGCGAAAGCGUGGGGAGCAAACAGGAUUAGAUACCCUGGUAG